ACGGGUGAGUAAUAUAUCGGAACGUGCCCAGUCGUGGGGGAUAACUGCUCGAAAGAGCAGCUAAUACCGCAUACGACCUGAGGGUGAAAGCGGGGGAUCGCAAGACCUCGCGCGAUUGGAGCGGCCGAUAUCAGAUUAGGUAGUUGGUGGGGUAAAAGCCCACCAAGCCAACGAUCUGUAGCUGGUCUGAGAGGACGACCAGCCACACUGGGACUGAGACACGGCCCAGACUCCUACGGGAGGCAGCAGUGGGGAAUUUUGGACAAUGGGCGCAAGCCUGAUCCAGCCAUGCCGCGUGCGGGAAGAAGGCCUUCGGGUUGUAAACCGCUUUUGUCAGGGAAGAAAAGGUUCUGGCUAAUACCUGGGACUCAUGACGGUACCUGAAGAAUAAGCACCGGCUAACUACGUGCCAGCAGCCGCGGUAAUACGUAGGGUGCAAGCGUUAAUCGGAAUUACUGGGCGUAAAGCGUGCGCAGGCGGUUAUGCAAGACAGAUGUGAAAUCCCCGGGCUCAACCUGGGAACUGCAUUUGUGACUGCAUGGCUAGAGUGCGGCAGAGGGGGAUGGAAUUCCGCGUGUAGCAGUGAAAUGCG
Molecule: ribosomal RNA, 592 nt
Filed under: uncultured bacterium
Lineage: Bacteria
Description: bacterial SSU rRNA
Rfam family: Bacterial small subunit ribosomal RNA
Source: RNAcentral